CCUUGGGCGGUGUGUACAAGGGGUGAAGCCUGCGGUUUAAUUGGAGUCAACGCCGGGAAUCUUACCGGGAGCGACAGCAGGAUGAAGGCCAAGCUGACGACUUUGCCAGACAGGCUGAGAGGAGGUGCAUGGCCGUCGCCAGUUCGUGCCGUGAGGUGUCCGGUUAAGUCCGGCAACGAACGAGACCCUCACCCUAUGUUGCUAGGUCCUCUCUACGGAGGGGACCGCACACGUAGGGGACCGCCAGUGUUAAACUGGAGGAAGGAGGGGGCUACGGCAGGUCAGCAUGCCCCGAAUCUCCCGGGCCACACGCGGGCUGCAAUGGCGAGGACAGCGGGUUCCGACCCCGAGAGGGGAAGGCAAUCCCUUAAACCUCGCCGUAGUUGGGAUUGAGGGCUGUAACCCGCCCUCAUGAACAUGGAAUCCCUAGUAACCGCGUGUCACCAUCACGCGGUGAAUACGUCCCUGCUCUUUGUACACACCGGCCAAGGGC
Molecule: ribosomal RNA, 493 nt
Filed under: uncultured crenarchaeote
Lineage: Archaea; Thermoproteati; Thermoproteota
Description: bacterial SSU rRNA
Rfam family: Archaeal small subunit ribosomal RNA
Source: RNAcentral